AAGUGAAAUGAUGGUAUACCAUCUUUCGGGACUGACUUAAAAUGGAGAUGAUAUGUAAUUGCUGAUCACUU
RNAcentral lists this small nucleolar RNA (71 nucleotides) under Pogona vitticeps (central bearded dragon). RNAcentral describes it as "Small nucleolar RNA SNORD2 (ENSPVIG00000010852.1)". It matches the Rfam family "Small nucleolar RNA SNORD2". Lineage: Eukaryota; Metazoa; Chordata; Lepidosauria; Squamata; Agamidae. The record is from Rfam by way of RNAcentral.